RNAcentral lists this ribosomal RNA (499 nucleotides) under uncultured Dorea sp. RNAcentral describes it as "bacterial SSU rRNA". It matches the Rfam family "Bacterial small subunit ribosomal RNA", at positions 8 to 507 of the family's 1533-position model. Lineage: Bacteria; Bacillati; Bacillota; Clostridia; Lachnospirales; Lachnospiraceae. The record is from RNAcentral.
AGAGUUUGAUCCUGGCUCAGGAUGAACGCUGGCGGCGUGCCUAACACAUGCAAGUCGAGCGAAGCACUUAAAAUGGAUUCUUCGGAUGAAGCUUUAUGUGACUGAGCGGCGGACGGGUGAGUAACGCGUGGGCAACCUGCCUUACACAGGGGGAUAACAGUUAGAAAUGACUGCUAAUACCGCAUAAGACCACAGGGCUGCAUGGCCUGGUGGUAAAAACUCCGGUGGUGUAAGAUGGGCCCGCGUCUGAUUAGGUAGUUGGCGGGGUAACGGCCCACCAAGCCGACGAUCAGUAGCCGACCUGAGAGGGUGACCGGCCACAUUGGGACUGAGACACGGCCCAGACUCCUACGGGAGGCAGCAGUGGGGAAUAUUGCACAAUGGGGGAAACCCUGAUGCAGCGACGCCGCGUGAGUGAUGAAGUAUUUCGGUAUGUAAAGCUCUAUCAGCAGGGAAGAAAAUGACGGUACCUGACUAAGAAGCCCCGGCUAACUACGUG